This 70-nucleotide small nucleolar RNA is filed under the name Trypanosoma theileri. Its description in RNAcentral is "Trypanosomatid snoRNA TB11Cs5H1". It matches the Rfam family "Trypanosomatid snoRNA TB11Cs5H1". The record is from Rfam by way of RNAcentral. Lineage: Eukaryota; Euglenozoa; Kinetoplastea; Trypanosomatida; Trypanosomatidae.
CAGCACACACCAACCAGCCCCUUCUGUGUGGUUGAGUACACGCCGGUGGCCAAAGUGGGGUGCGAGAUCU